This 256-nucleotide ribosomal RNA is filed under the name uncultured bacterium. Its description in RNAcentral is "partial 16S ribosomal RNA". It matches the Rfam family "Bacterial small subunit ribosomal RNA", at positions 524 to 776 of the family's 1533-position model. The record is from RNAcentral.
UACGGAGGGUGCAAGCGUUAUCCGGAUUCACUGGGUUUAAAGGGUGCGUAGGUGGGCAAGUAAGUCAGUGGUGAAAUCUCCGGGCUUAACCCGGAAACUGCCAUUGAUACUAUUUGUCUUGAAUACUGUGGAGGUCAGCGGAAUAUGUCAUGUAGCGGUGAAAUGCUUAGAUAUGACAUAGAACACCAAUUGCGAAGGCAGCUGGCUACACAAAUAUUGACACUGAGGCACGAAAAGCGUGGGGGAUCAAAACAGG